RNAcentral lists this ribosomal RNA (380 nucleotides) under uncultured Kastovskya sp. RNAcentral's name for it is "bacterial SSU rRNA". It matches the Rfam family "Bacterial small subunit ribosomal RNA", at positions 376 to 770 of the family's 1533-position model. The record is from RNAcentral. Lineage: Bacteria; Bacillati; Cyanobacteriota; Cyanophyceae; Coleofasciculales; Coleofasciculaceae.
CGAAAGCCUGACGGAGCAAGACCGCGUGAGGGAGGAAGGCUCUUGGGUCGUAAACCUCUUUUGUCAGGGAAGAAGACCUGACGGUACCUGACGAAUCAGCAUCGGCUAACUCCGUGCCAGCAGCCGCGGUAAGACGGAGGAUGCAAGCGUUAUCCGGAAUUAUUGGGCGUAAAGCGUCCGUAGGUGGCUCUUCAAGUCUGCUGUCAAAGAGUGGGGCUUAACCCUGCCAAGGCAGUGGAAACUGAAAGGCUAGAGAGCCGUAGGGGUAGAGGGAAUUCCCGGUGUAGCGGUGAAAUGCGUAGAGAUCGGGAAGAACAUCGGUGGCGAAAGCGCUCUGCUGGGCCGCGACUGACACUCACAGGACGAAAGCUAGGGGAGCG